GCCUCUUUGUUCAUUCCCAUAUUUUGUGACAUUCUUAGUUCUAGGAGUUUUCUGUAUUUUAACAUAGUUCGUGUUUUCCCCAUUUCCCCAUUUCUCGAAGCUUGUUCACCCUUCAAAUUUUAUGAUAUACUAGUAUGUAGCUGUUUUCAUUAGAACUAUUAAUAAUAUAUGCACAAAAAGAAGUGUCAUACGAUAUUGGAACGUUUUCGUGAUUAAUUCAUUACUAUAAUUUCAUCAUAUGCUGUCGGAUAUGUGUUUUUAGUGUCAGUAUCAAUAAAAU
Molecule: long non-coding RNA, 280 nt
Filed under: Mytilus galloprovincialis (Mediterranean mussel)
Lineage: Eukaryota; Metazoa; Mollusca; Bivalvia; Mytilida; Mytilidae
Source: RNAcentral